UCCUGGUACCAGGAAAAAAACAAACAAACAAACAAACAAAAAGUAAAAUAAGAUCUUUGUAAAAAUUGUAGGUUGAAAGAAAAGGAAAAUGAAAUGAAGACAGUAGAAGCCAUGCCAAAAGAGAGGGAGAGUGAUCGUCCUAGCAAGCUAUUACAGAUUCUGGUUUAGAAUUUCAGAAAUGGAGAGAUAACUGGGCUCCUGAAUGAAUUAGAUUCUUUGAAGAAUGCAGUUGACUAUCAGAGGAAGAAAAAUAAGGUAAGCAAAUCUUCACAAGAAUGAAACUUUGCUUUUUAUUGCUUCAGCUUAGGAAGACAGUUCA
Molecule: long non-coding RNA, 319 nt
Filed under: Chinchilla lanigera (long-tailed chinchilla)
Lineage: Eukaryota; Metazoa; Chordata; Mammalia; Rodentia; Chinchillidae
Description: lncRNA (ENSCLAG00000028436.1)
Source: RNAcentral